Molecule: long non-coding RNA, 630 nt
Organism: Macaca mulatta (Rhesus monkey)
Lineage: Eukaryota; Metazoa; Chordata; Mammalia; Primates; Cercopithecidae
Source: RefSeq, a predicted model, not a curated record
AGCGCCAGCCGGAAGCCCCGCCCCCUCGAAGCGCCGCGGAUCGGAGGAGCCACCGCUCUUCACUCCAGGCUUUGCCCGGCCGGGACAGCACUGCGGACCCCCUGCGGCGCUGUCCACCCAAAUGACAGCUGCGACCUCGUCCAAGCCGGUGACUUAACUCGGGCCCGUUACCCGUUCCCACUUUGUUGCCAAGUCUCCAGCCUGGAAAAUAAACUGGCUUCAGGUAUCCUGUUUAGAUCCUUAAAAUGAGGAACGGCAGGAACACACACAGCGCUGCCACCUCACACCUUUUCACUUCAUCCUGACGAAGCUGCGGUUCAGUUCGGAUGUGUGAGGUUUUGGUCUGAUGGCACUCACCCAGCACUUGGGCAGAAAAUAAGACCCUGCACUGAUGGAUCCGCUGGUGCCACCCAGAUCACUAAACUAGCUCAGGUGAUCUUGUGGCCCCCAUCCAGGAACCAACUCAGAGCAAGAAGACAGCUUCAACUCCCUAUGCCUUCAUCUCUGAUGUGACCUAUCAACACGCCCCACUCCCUGGCCCCCACCCGCUAAGUUAUCCUUCAAAAAACUCCAGUCCCCACAUUUUCUGGGAGACUGAUUUGAGUAAUAAACUCUGGUCUCCCGUUCUGA